RNAcentral lists this ribosomal RNA (253 nucleotides) under uncultured bacterium. Its description in RNAcentral is "partial 16S ribosomal RNA". It matches the Rfam family "Bacterial small subunit ribosomal RNA", at positions 524 to 776 of the family's 1533-position model. The record is from RNAcentral.
UACGGGGGGGGCAAGCGUUGUUCGGAAUUACUGGGCGUAAAGGGCGCGUAGGCGGCCUUCUAAGUCAGACGUGAAAUCCCUCGGCUCAACCGAGGAACUGCGUCUGAUACUGGAUGGCUUGAGGUUGGGAGAGGGAUGCGGAAUUCCAGGUGUAGCGGUGAAAUGCGUAGAUAUCUGGAGGAACACCGGUGGCGAAGGCGGCAUCCUGGACCAAUUCUGACACUGAGGAGCGAAAGCCAGGGGAGCAAACGGG